Molecule: ribosomal RNA, 392 nt
Filed under: uncultured bacterium
Lineage: Bacteria
Description: bacterial SSU rRNA
Rfam family: Bacterial small subunit ribosomal RNA
Source: RNAcentral
AUUGAACGCUGGCGGCAUGCCUUACACAUGCAAGUCGAACGGCAGCACGGGAGCAAUCCUGGUGGCGAGUGGCGAACGGGUGAGUAAUGUAUCGGAACGUACCUUUCAGUGGGGGAUAACGUAGCGAAAGUUACGCUAAUACCGCAUAUUCUGUGAGCAGGAAAGCAGGGGAUCGCAAGACCUUGCGCUGAUUGAGCGGCCGAUAUCAGAUUAGCUAGUUGGUGAGGUAAAGGCUCACCAAGGCGACGAUCUGUAGCGGGUCUGAGAGGAUGAUCCGCCACACUGGAACUGAGACACGGUCCAGACUCCUACGGGAGGCAGCAGUGGGGAAUUUUGGACAAUGGGCGCAAGCCUGAUCCAGCCAUGCCGCCGUGAGUGAAGAAGGCCUCGUU